AAAUAUAAAAAGGGGAGCUUGCGUAUCAAGCAGGCUGAGAACAGGCUGAAUCGCCUGGACCCGUAGACCUGAUUUGGAUAAUGCCAACGUAGGGAGCGGUAUGAUGGAUUUAU
RNAcentral lists this non-coding RNA (113 nucleotides) under Lachnospiraceae bacterium MD308. RNAcentral's name for it is "Lachnospiraceae bacterium 3-2 TPP riboswitch aptamer (THI element)". It matches the Rfam family "TPP riboswitch aptamer (THI element)". Rfam says of the family: Vitamin B(1) in its active form thiamin pyrophosphate (TPP) is an essential coenzyme that is synthesised by coupling of pyrimidine and thiazole moieties in bacteria. The previously detected thiamin-regulatory element, thi box was extended, resulting in a new, highly conserved RNA secondary structure, the THI element, which is widely distributed in eubacteria and also occurs in some archaea. The record is from Rfam by way of RNAcentral. Lineage: Bacteria; Bacillati; Bacillota; Clostridia; Lachnospirales; Lachnospiraceae. RNAcentral also lists the same sequence under 1 other name.